RNAcentral lists this small RNA (281 nucleotides) under uncultured Butyricimonas sp. Its description in RNAcentral is "5' ureB small RNA". It matches the Rfam family "5' ureB small RNA". Lineage: Bacteria; Pseudomonadati; Bacteroidota; Bacteroidia; Bacteroidales; Odoribacteraceae. The record is from RNAcentral.
UUGCUGUGGGGAAAUCAUGUGUACGUGUCCGUCAAUUCCGGCUGCGGUCAGGAUCAGGUGCUCUCCGGAAAUGGCGUCCGUUGCCGCACCGGUUACGAGCUCUGGCGUGACACCUUCCAUAAUGUUGGGAUUUCCGGCUUUCCCGAUACCUGCGAUCUUGCCGUCCUUGAUGCCGACAUCGGCUUUAAUGACUCCCAGUUUGGGGUCUAAGAUCGUUACAUUCGUGAUAACCAGGUCCAAGGUCCCCCCUUCCGAGGUCAACGUGUUGGCUAAUCCCAUGC